UACAGAGGGUGCAAGCGUUGUUCGGAUUCAUUGGGCGUAAAGGGUGCGUAGGCGGCGCGGUAAGUCGGGUGUGAAAUCUUGGAGCUUAACUCCGAAACUGCAUUCGAUACUGCCGUGCUUGAGGACUGGAGAGGAGACUGGAAUUUACGGUGUAGCGGUGAAAUGCGUAGAUAUCGUAAGGAAGACCAGUGGCGAAGGCGGGUCUCUGGACAGUUCCUGACGCUGAGGCACGAAGGUCAGGGGAGCAAACGGG
This 253-nucleotide ribosomal RNA is filed under the name uncultured bacterium. Its description in RNAcentral is "partial 16S ribosomal RNA". It matches the Rfam family "Bacterial small subunit ribosomal RNA", at positions 524 to 776 of the family's 1533-position model. The record is from RNAcentral.